UCUUUUACAAAGAGGGGUGGAGGUUGUUGUUGCCUUUUUUUUUUUUCCUUAUGAAUGGAGGGCGGCGGCGACUGCUGCAGCUGGUUCAGCUGCGCGGGCUGUACCCCCUCCCAGCCUGCGAGAGGAGGAAGCUAGUGGAGUACCUGCAAUGACAAAACCAAAGAAUAAAGCAAGAGGAUAGACACCAUGGAAAUAACUACAUGGACCUCAGGUUUAAUGGCUGCUCCAGUGACAUCUGCAUUAAUGAGGGGGAAAAGAAAAAGGAUCCCUCACUGAUGGAGAAAGAGUCCCCCUGGGUGGUGAAAGGAUUAAAGGCACACAACUGUGAAGUGGUGACACUGUGGCUGGAAUCCAGGAAACCCAAGUGUACCGCCACCCUCAACACUCUGUGGACUGCUUGUGGCUGAGCUCCUCUUCCCUGUGGCCACAAGGUGACUGCCACAGCUUCACACUCAUCACAUAUCCACCUCCAGUUUGGCUAUGGAGUAUGGCUACCCAAGAAGGAGCUCCCACGCACAUCCUAAAAUCCAAUGGGCAGACCUCUAACCCCACAUCAAGGUUCUGGAAGAUGCAAGAGAUGCUCUUCUUUCCAUUGACUGAAAAUUGUGACAUCAUCGCUUCUCAGAGCAUCCCUGGAGGAAGGUGGCACUGGCUCUGUCCUGCAGGUGAGGAAACUGAAGCUUGGUAAGAGCACCUUUACCAGACAUUGUACUUGGAAUCAUAGACAAAACCAUGACCAGAAUCCAGGCCUGACUGUUUUAAAUAUCCUGCUUUUUCCUCUCUUUCAUACAAUACCUUGAACAGUUACCAGAAAGAUUGGUCCAAAUCAAGCCAUAUACACUUCACUCCUUGGUCCCCCUUAUGUUCAAGAUCUGACCUGCACAAGAUGUCGGAUGGCCAUGCAGAACCCCGUUUUGUAGCCAUGAUGAUGUUAGCUACCUGGGACUUUUGGCUCAGAUGGUAGAGUUGACUUUGCCGUCUGAGGAGCCCCGUCUUGGCCAUGUAAACGCUCCAUGGAGGUAGACAUGAGACAGAGCUGCCUGGCGCACGACUCAGCCCUCGGCCCUGAGCCCCAGCACCAAGUUGUUGCACUGGUGAGAGUUUGUCUCAAGAGUUUCCUCUGUAAAUAUUAUUUCUCCAGGAUGUCCAAGUUUCAUAGCUCAUUUUCACUGGAUUUCUUUCUGGCUAAGUUGCUUAAACAUAUAUCCUUCUACAAGCAGGGCUGGCAGGAAGGAGUAACACCCAGCGCGUUGCUCGCGUAGCUGACUAGGUGUCCAACUGCCUAGUGUGACUUCAUUCCAGUUUUCCAAACCUACAUCCUCCUGCAGCUGCUGUUAAGGGUUGGGAGGGAAGGAGAGCAAGUGGGAGAGGGGGGCUUACAAAGAGAGGGAGGGACUGGCCAACAGCCUUGGCAGAAGCAGCAGCCCUUCCCUCUUGGAGGGAGCAGGGGCCUCAGGGGAAGCCACCGAGUCAUCAUGUAUUCAUGCUCUGGGCAUUACGUGCUGGGUCCUCUGUUCUGUGUGGGCAAGGUCCCCGCCUUCAGGGGCUUACACCUAUUUAGGAUCAGAUGACCCAGAGUAAUCAAGCAGUACAACAGCAAAAACUCCACUUGUUCGAGCUAAAAGUAAACAAAAGUGCAGCAACCAAAACCCU
This is a long non-coding RNA of Capra hircus (goat), 1653 nucleotides long. RefSeq lists it as uncharacterized. Lineage: Eukaryota; Metazoa; Chordata; Mammalia; Artiodactyla; Bovidae. The record is from RefSeq and is a predicted model, not a curated record. The transcript has 8 exons.